This is a long non-coding RNA of Haplochromis burtoni (Burton's mouthbrooder), 2625 nucleotides long. RefSeq lists it as uncharacterized. The record is from RefSeq and is a predicted model, not a curated record. The transcript has 3 exons. Lineage: Eukaryota; Metazoa; Chordata; Actinopteri; Cichliformes; Cichlidae.
CUAGGGCAAACAGCGGCCUAUUCGACUAAGAUGAUGGAUCCAUGGGGUCAAAAAAGCCAGAAGCAGGGCUGGAGAAGUACCUUUCAUGUCCAUUCACUGGAGGUGUGGAUCUAUUGCAUGGCAUUCCUCACAUCAAGAAGCUGUUGAUCAAAAUCAAUACAGCUCUUCCUGCAUCUGGAGCUUGUGAAGGACUUCUCAGUCAUGCAGGACUCCUGUUCACUGCUAAACAGUUACAGCUUCACAGAAAGAACCUUGAGAGCAAACUGCUGCUGAAGCUUAACCAUCACCUUACUGAGUCAUGAAAUGGCACAUUUUUGCUAAAUAUGCAGAAAUAAAUGCACACCCAUACAAUUUAUGGUAAACUGAGCUCCCUUGUAUGUACAUGAGGAAGAUGUCUCGUUCUGUUUUCUCUGAGGCUACUGUGCCAUUUGGAACAAAAAUGAAUAUAAAGUUUACAGCAUAUCUUGUCACUGGAAAUUGUUUGCAUUGUUUGACCAUUUAAAGAAACCGAAUUUUGAGGUACUGUUGAGUCCACUUCCCUUCUCAAAGGUGUCUAAUUCCUACCUCUGGUAUUUACCUAGUAAUAUUGCCAUAAAACCAUGGAAAGUGAGGGCUGCAGAACAGAAGCCAACUUACACGAGGAACAGGCCGGUUGUGUAUUUUAGGACCCCACGGACAUUACUGCCGCUCUGAGUUCGGUGACGUCAGAGCGGUCUGCCGAUAUUUGCGGGUUAAGAAAGAUGGCGGCUGAGAAGAGCAGGUUGAAACAGCGGAGUCAUAAAAGCAGCAUAUUUAAAGAAGAGAAACUUGCCUAUAUCUAAUCGGGAAUGGCUGAUAGAGCCAGGACGCGGAGAGGAGGGCCAGGAUUUACUUUCCAAAACCACGACUGUUUCAAACUGACAGCAUGAGGUGUUCUGCAGUAAACUGGAUUAACCGACAGAAGGACCAGAGGCCUAACUGCACUUUUUCGGAGCCGCCCUCAGCACCACCCAGAAAACAACAACAGAAAAAUCAUGUUAUGUGUUCACUCUUGAUGAACACACUAUUCAUGACAUGUUGGGUUUGUCCAUCUUAUUGGCCGAGCAGAUAGUGGAGGUCUGAAGACUUCCCUCUGAGGGAGCUGCUGGUGAAGAUUAUGAGUCCUGUUUGAUCCCUGCGAUGAGCGUCAGUCCUCCUGAUGUCACAAAAAUAAUGUCUUUCUCAGUGGGUCAACAGAACAUCUGGCACAGGACAGGUGUGAUUUAUAAAAUAAUAAAAAAUAAAAUAAUAAGCAUGAAGCUUCUCCUAACCUUUGGACCCAGAGAACCGCCUUGGCCCUGCCUCCAGGGUGAAUCUGUUGAUUAUGUGGACUCUGGAUCAUGUUAUAAAAUUAGAAGAAGUAAUCACACUUCUGUGAAACCUUCUGCUGCUGUGUUUUUCAAUCUAACAUUUUAUUCAAACAAAGUGCUUUGAGAGUGUAUAAUGUAUCUAAAACUGUUUAAAUCUUCAGUUUUAUAACACCUAAGUCUUAUGUUAAAAUCUGAAAGGAUAGCAUUAACAGUAAAAAACCAAAAAAACAAACAAACUUUAAACCACAUUUUUUAGAGUCUCAGCAGCUGAAUAACAGUUAUUAAGAUUAUUUUAAACUGAACCUAGAAUUGAACACAAGGUCUUGAAUAAUCAGGUCCCAUCUUAAUGGCCUUAUAGCACCAUAUCACCCCAUUAGAGCACUUUGCUCUCAGACUGCUUACUUGUGGUUCCUUCAGUAUUUAAAAGUAGAAUGGGAGGCAGAGCCUUCAGUUUUCAGGCCCCUCUUCUGUGGAUUCAGGAGACAGACACUAUUUCUACUUUUAAGAUUAGACUCAAAAUAUUUUUUUUUCCUUUUUUUAAUAAACAUAUUGUUAGGGCUGGAUCAGGUGAUCCUAAAUAUUUCCUUAGUUACAUUGCAAGGUCUAGGCUGCUGGGAGGUUCCCAUGAGCAAAUGCAGUCAAAAUUGUAGAAGAAACUGAGUGUUUCUUCUUCAGUUGCCCUUUUCACUUUGUUUAUACACCUCUGCAUUUCGUUAUUAUUUAUUAUAAAUCUCUGGCUCUCUUCAAUAGCUUGUCCUUUCCCUGUCUUCUUCCCCUUACCCUAACUGGUCAGGGGGCCAGAUGGCUGCCCCCUGUGAGCCUGGUUCUGCUGGAGGUGUCUUCCUGUUAAAAGGGAGUUUUUUUCCUUCCUACUGUUGUCAACGCACUGGCUCAUAAGGGGUUGUUGAGCAAGCUUUUUGGGGUUUUCUCUGUUGUGUUAUUAUAGGGUUGUGGGAUCUUUACCUUACAAUAAGGCAACUGCUGUUUUGAUUUGGAACUAUAUGAAUAAAACUGAAUUGGAAUUGGAAAAGUGUCUGUGUUUUGGAGGUAUUGGCCAUUUCUCAUAUUUAUAACAUUUAUUAGAGAUUAUAUUGUUGUCACCGACCCCACCCCCUUUUUUUUUUUUGUUUGUUUGUUUGUUUGUUUGUUUGUUUGUUUGUUUCUCGUGAGAAGUCAUGUAUUUGAUCAAUUUGUAAUGACAAUAAGAAUAUUGUAUGUAAAAUUUGUCUUGGAAUGCUUCCAAUUGUAAAAAUUUACCAUUGUCAUGGUGAUUAAUAAAAAUACCAUUAUCAUGAAA